This 473-nucleotide ribosomal RNA is filed under the name Micrococcus sp. g9. RNAcentral's name for it is "bacterial SSU rRNA". It matches the Rfam family "Bacterial small subunit ribosomal RNA", at positions 26 to 512 of the family's 1533-position model. The record is from RNAcentral. Lineage: Bacteria; Bacillati; Actinomycetota; Actinomycetes; Micrococcales; Micrococcaceae.
AGGAUGAACGCUGGCGGCGUGCUUAACACAUGCAAGUCGAACGAUGAAGCCCAGCUUGCUGGGUGGAUUAGUGGCGAACGGGUGAGUAACACGUGAGUAACCUGCCCUUAACUCUGGGAUAAGCCUGGGAAACUGGGUCUAAUACCGGAUAGGAGCGCCCACCGCAUGGUGGGUGUUGGAAAGAUUUAUCGGUUUUGGAUGGACUCGCGGCCUAUCAGCUUGUUGGUGAGGUAAUGGCUCACCAAGGCGACGACGGGUAGCCGGCCUGAGAGGGUGACCGGCCACACUGGGACUGAGACACGGCCCAGACUCCUACGGGAGGCAGCAGUGGGGAAUAUUGCACAAUGGGCGCAAGCCUGAUGCAGCGACGCCGCGUGAGGGAUGACGGCCUUCGGGUUGUAAACCUCUUUCAGUAGGGAAGAAGCGAAAGUGACGGUACCUGCAGAAGAAGCACCGGCUAACUACGUGCCAGC